AAUGUGUCUGCAGCCGUGCCACCCUGAACGUGCUGAUCCCGUCUGAUCUCAGAAGCUAAGCAGGGUCGGGCCUGGUUAGUACUUGGA
RNAcentral lists this microRNA precursor (87 nucleotides) under Pteropus vampyrus (large flying fox). The record is from RNAcentral. Lineage: Eukaryota; Metazoa; Chordata; Mammalia; Chiroptera; Pteropodidae.